This 405-nucleotide ribosomal RNA is filed under the name uncultured bacterium. RNAcentral's name for it is "bacterial SSU rRNA". It matches the Rfam family "Bacterial small subunit ribosomal RNA", at positions 355 to 776 of the family's 1533-position model. The record is from RNAcentral.
UGGGGAAUCUUGCGCAAUGGGCGAAAGCCUGACGCAGCGAUGCCGCGUGCGGGAAGACGGCCUUCGGGUUGUAAACCGCUUUCAGCAGGGACGAAAUUGACGGUACCUGCAGAAGAAGCUCCGGCCAACUACGUGCCAGCAGCCGCGGUAAGACGUAGGGGGCGAGCGUUGUCCGGAAUUAUUGGGCGUAAAGGGCUCCUAGGCGGUUCAGUAAGUCGACUGUGAAAAUCCAAGGCUCAACCUUGGGACGCCAGUCGAUACUGCUGUGACUCGAGUUCGGUAGAGGAGUGUGGAAUUCCUGGUGUAGCGGUGAAAUGCGCAGAUAUCAGGAGGAACACCAACGGCGAAGGCAGCACUCUGGGCCGAUACUGACGCUGAAGAGCGAAAGCGUGGGGAGCAAACAGG